AACCGCGGCUGCUGGACAAGAGGGGUGCGGUGGAUACUGACCUUUGCUCCGGCCUCGUGUGAAGACACAGCGCAUCUCCCCGCUGUAGGCUUCCUCCCACAGAACCCGUUUCGGGCCUCAGAGCGUCUGGUGAGAUGCUGUUGCCGCUGCUGCUGCUGCUACCCAUGUGCUGGGCCGUGGAGGUCAAGAGGCCCCGGGGCGUCUCCCUCACCAUCAUCACUUCUACGAUGAGUCCAAGCCUUUCACCUGCCUGGACGGUUCGGCCACCAUCCCAUUUGAUCAGGUCAACGAUGACUAUUGCGACUGCAAAGAUGGCUCUGACGAGCCAGCACGGCUGCCUGUCCUAAUGGCAGCUUCCACUGCACCAACACUGGCUAUAAGCCCCUGUAUAUCCC
RNAcentral lists this long non-coding RNA (395 nucleotides) under Homo sapiens (human). Its description in RNAcentral is "long non-coding RNA NONHSAT061156.2". Lineage: Eukaryota; Metazoa; Chordata; Mammalia; Primates; Hominidae. The record is from RNAcentral.